AGCGAACGCUGGCGGCAGGCCUAACACAUGCAAGUCGAACGAACUCUUCGGAGUUAGUGGCGGACGGGUGAGUAACACGUGGGAACGUGCCUUUUGGUUCGGAAUAACUCAGGGAAACUUGUGCUGAUACCGAAUGUGCCCUUCGGGGGAAAGAUUUAUCGCCAUUAGAGCGGCCCGCGUCUGAUUAGCUAGUUGGUGAGGUAACGGCUCACCAAGGCGACGAUCAGUAGCUGGUCUGAGAGGAUGACCAGCCACACUGGGACUGAGACACGGCCCAGACUCCUACGGGAGGCAGCAGUGGGGAAUCUUGCGCAAUGGGCGAAAGCCUGACGCAGCCAGGCCGCGUGAAUGAUGAAGGUCUUAGGAUUGUAAAAUUCUUUCAACGGGGACGAUAAUGACGGUACCCGGAGAAGAAGCCCCGGCUAACUUCGUG
RNAcentral lists this ribosomal RNA (433 nucleotides) under uncultured bacterium. Its description in RNAcentral is "partial 16S ribosomal RNA". It matches the Rfam family "Bacterial small subunit ribosomal RNA", at positions 29 to 507 of the family's 1533-position model. The record is from RNAcentral.